UACGUAGGGUACGAGCGUUGUCCGGAAUUAUUGGGCGUAAAGAGCUCGUAGGUGGUUGGUCACGUCUGCUGUGGAAACGCAACGCUUAACGUUGCGCGGGCAGUGGGUACGGGCUGACUAGAGUGCAGUAGGGGAGUCUGGAAUUCCUGGUGUAGCGGUGAAAUGCGCAGAUAUCAGGAGGAACACCAAUGGCGAAGGCAGGUCUCUGGGCAGUUACUGACGCUGAGGAGCGAAAGCAUGGGUAGCGAACAGGAUUAGAUA
Molecule: ribosomal RNA, 261 nt
Filed under: uncultured prokaryote
Description: partial 16S ribosomal RNA
Rfam family: Bacterial small subunit ribosomal RNA
Source: RNAcentral